This 404-nucleotide ribosomal RNA is filed under the name Actinomycetes bacterium. Its description in RNAcentral is "Actinobacteria bacterium partial 16S ribosomal RNA". It matches the Rfam family "Bacterial small subunit ribosomal RNA", at positions 355 to 776 of the family's 1533-position model. The record is from RNAcentral. Lineage: Bacteria; Bacillati; Actinomycetota; Actinomycetes.
UGGGGAAUAUUGGACAAUGGGCGCAAGCCUGAUCCAGCCAUGCCGCGUGAGUGAUGAAGGCCCGAGGGGUGUAAAGCUCUUUCACCGGGGAAGAUAAUGACGGUAACCGGAGAAGAAGCGACGGCUAACUUCGUGCCAGCAGCCGCGGUAAUAAGAAGGGGGCUAGCGUUGGUCGGAUUUACUGGGCGUAAAGCGCACGUAGGCGGACUUUUAAGUCAGGGGUGAAAUCCCGGGGCUCAACCCCGGAACUGCCUUUGAUACUGGAAGUCUUGAGUAUGGUAGAGGUGAGUGGAAUUCCGAGUGUAGAGGUGAAAUUCGUAGAUAUUCGGAGGAACACCAGUGGCGAAGGCGGCUAACUGGACCAUUACUGACGCUGAGGUGCGAAAGCGUGGGGAGCAAACAGG